AUUGAACGCUGGCGGCAGGCCUAACACAUGCAAGUCGAGCGGAUGAAGGGAGCUUGCUCCUGGAUUCAGCGGCGGACGGGUGAGUAAUGCCUGGGAAUCUGCCUGGUAGUGGGGGAUAACCUCCGGAAACGGGCGCUAAUACCGCAUACGUCCUGAGGGAGAAAGUGGGGGAUCUUCGGACCUCACGCUAUCAGAUGAGCCUAGGUCGGAUUAGCUAGUUGGUGGGGUAAAGGCCUACCAAGGCGACGAUCCGUAACUGGUCUGAGAGGAUGAUCAGUCACACUGGAACUGAGACACGGUCCAGACUCCUACGGGAGGCAGCAGUGGGGAAUAUUGGACAAUGGGCGAAAGCCUGAUCCAGCCAUGCCGCGUGUGUGAAGAAGGUCUUCGGAUUGUAAAGCACUUUAAGUUGGGAGGAAGGGCAGUAAGUUAAUACCUUGCUGUUUUGACGUUACCAACAGAAUAAGCACCGGCUAACUUCGUG
This 484-nucleotide ribosomal RNA is filed under the name uncultured bacterium. RNAcentral describes it as "partial 16S ribosomal RNA". It matches the Rfam family "Bacterial small subunit ribosomal RNA", at positions 30 to 507 of the family's 1533-position model. The record is from RNAcentral.